CCCCACACAAAAGAGAAAACAAUCAAUCACCACUAAACACGUGUCUUAAUCAAACAUAUUCAAAAUAUAAUCACGACCGUCAAUUUCAUAAGCCCAAAAAGCAUAAUGAACACUUACUUUCUAAGCUGAACUGAGAGUAAUGGAGGUCAAACAACGAGGGGUCGACGGAGGUCAAGAUCGGACGGCGACCUUCCUUUCCGUAUUGUCGUAUGGAAGCCGCCACCAGAUCUUUCACCGCGGAUUCCGGCGGCAUUACGACAUGUAUUGCGCCGACGCUCCCCUGAAUCGUCACGUUGAGGAGCAGCUUCGUCAGUUUCGG
RNAcentral lists this long non-coding RNA (319 nucleotides) under Prunus persica (peach). RNAcentral's name for it is "long non-coding RNA (PPER_LNC005786)". Lineage: Eukaryota; Viridiplantae; Streptophyta; Magnoliopsida; Rosales; Rosaceae. The record is from RNAcentral.